Molecule: ribosomal RNA, 908 nt
Filed under: Thecaphora capensis
Lineage: Eukaryota; Fungi; Basidiomycota; Ustilaginomycetes; Urocystidales; Glomosporiaceae
Description: LSU rRNA
Rfam family: Eukaryotic large subunit ribosomal RNA
Source: RNAcentral
AUUGGGGCUCGAGAAGCGUUAUCCGCGCCGGACCAGGCUUUAAAUCCUUUGGAAUAAGGUACCUUAGAGGGUGAUAGUCCCUUUCAUAGUCUGGAACCACCGGGGCUUUGUGAUGCGCUCUCCAAGAGUCGAGUUGUUUGGGAAUGCAGCUCAAAAUGGGUGGUAAAUGCCAUCUAAGGCUAAAUAUAGAGGAGAGACCGAUAGCGAACAAGUACCGUGAGGGAAAGAUGAAAAGAACUUUGGAAAGAGAGUUAAACAGUACGUGAAAUUGCCGGAAGGGAAGGGUAGGAAGUCAGAUAUGUCUUGGUGGAUUCAGCUUGACCUUUCGAGGUUGGGUGUAUUUCCGUCAUGGACAGGCCAGCAUCGAUUUUGGCUGCCGGAUAUUGGUAAGGGGAAUGUGGCAUCCUUUUCGGAGGGUGUGUUAUAGCCUCUUACUUGGUACGGCGGCUGGGAUCGAGGAACGCAGUGCACCCGUAAGGGCGGGCCUUAGGGCACCUUUGCACAUAGGAUGUUGGCUUAAUGGCUUUCUGCCACCCGUCUUGAAACACGGACCAAGGAGUCUAACAUGUAUGCGAGUCUUUGGGUGUGAAAACCCAUGGGCGAAAUGAAAGUGACCUUUAAGGUGGGACUCUCCGGAUGCACCAUCGACCGAUCUCGAUUUUUUAUAAUGACGGAUUUGAGUAAGAGCAUAUAUGUUGGGACCCGAAAGAUGGUGAACUAUGCCUGAAUAGGGUGAAGCCAGGGGAAACUCUGGUGGAAGCUCGUAGCGGUUCUGACGUGCAAAUCGAUCGUAAAAUUUGGGUAUAGGGGCGAAAGACUAAUCGAACCAUCUAGUAGCUGGUUCCUGCCGAAGUUUCCCUCAGGAUAGCAGAAACUCGUUACUCAGUUUUAUGAGGUAAAGCGAAUGA